This is a long non-coding RNA of Ficedula albicollis (Collared flycatcher), 1251 nucleotides long. RefSeq lists it as uncharacterized. Lineage: Eukaryota; Metazoa; Chordata; Aves; Passeriformes; Muscicapidae. The record is from RefSeq and is a predicted model, not a curated record. The transcript is spliced from 3 exons.
CCGACUCCCUCCUGUUGCUGCAAAGACAAACCAGCAGCGUGAUCACAUCCUUUGGGGACAGCUCUGCUCAAGCCAGAGGCCAGUCUUGGCAGGAAUACAAGCCAGUUACACAGUGCUGUAGCUCUGCCAUGGAUGCAACAAAUCCCAGGGAAGGAGGGGAGAGGCAGAAGAACAGGUGGAACUCCAAGACAGUGAAAUGAGAGUGCCACAGGGAACUGCAGCUUGUAUGACUGCCAGAAGCCAAGUCUGUAGCACUGCUUGGAAAGCAGGAGACCAGUGUGAGGUGUCUGAAUUACUUGAAGAUACUAAUCUACUUUCAGAUGCUAUAUUUCUUGGGCACUCAUCUCUUCUACAAGGGAAACUUGCUGCAAGCAACCUGUUGGAUAUAUUCAGUAAUGAUGGCACUUCCAGGAAAUUGCCAUGUCCUGCAGCAAAGGAUGGAGUGCAGUAUAUGGGCCUCUCCUUUCUUUUGAGAAAGGUGCAGCAUGUCCAAAGUGGGCAGCUCUGCUACAGAGCAUCCCUCUCACUGGAGUACAGCAGAGCUCCUUUGUGCUUGUUUGAUAGAAAUCAUGGAUGGUCUCAGACCAAAUGAGACUGUGAGUGGCAGUGCAACAGCAAGAGAAGGAAUGUUAAUGACCAGAACAUAUGGGACAAAUACAGAUUUCAACUUCUAUUCCUUGUCAUACAGCUGUGUGGUUCUCCUUGUACCAUGCUCCAUUAUAUACACAAUCUUAAUGAUCACUGAAGUUUGAAUGACCAAAAAGUAGUUACGUUCUAUUUUCAAACACAUUUAACUCAAAGAACAAACCCAAUAGCUUCUGAAUUCUAGUGACAGCAUUACAAGAAGGCCCUGUGUGAACUAUGAUGAGGGCAGGAAGGUGUGACUAAAGACUUAAAGUCUAGGGGUUUUGUUCUCCAAAAGCAAAACAAAGGACUGUACACUCAAAGUACAAGGAAGUCAGUGAAGCUGAAACCACGGGGGAUGAAGUGUCCACUCUUACAGCACUUUCAGAUUUAGAGGACAGAGCAAUUUAGUAAACCCCAGAGAGGAGAAGAUGGAAUCAUAGACGAAUUCUUGCAGAUUACGAAUCAUGCCUGACUGACUGCAGGAGCAAGAGAAGCAAAACACACAGCCCCAAAACACUGUCAAAGCUGACAUACUUUUGAGAAGUGACAUAAAAUCCCACAGAAAGAGGCAAGGGUAUGUGGCUUGGGGGCAUCAACUGUUCUUUCAGAAUAUUGGAAAUGUGG